AGGACGAACGCUGGCGGCGUGCCUAACACAUGCAAGUCGAACGAGGUCCAUGCAGUGGCAACACUGCGGACGACCUAGUGGCGAACGGGUGAGUAACACGUGAGGAACUUGCCCCGGAGACCGGGAUAAGCCCCCGAAAGGGGGUCUAAUACCGGAUGUCCUCACCGAGUCGCAUGGCUUGGUGAGGAAAUGGAUUCCGCUCCGGGAGAGCCUCGCGGCCUAUCAGCUAGUUGGUGGGUAACGCCCACCAAGGCAUCGACGGGUAGCUGGUCUGAGAGGACGAUCAGCCACACUGGGACUGAGACACGGCCCAGACUCCUACGGGAGCAGCAGUGGGAAUCUUGC
This 345-nucleotide ribosomal RNA is filed under the name uncultured soil bacterium. Its description in RNAcentral is "bacterial SSU rRNA". It matches the Rfam family "Bacterial small subunit ribosomal RNA", at positions 26 to 367 of the family's 1533-position model. The record is from RNAcentral.